UACGUAGGGUGCAAGCGUUAAUCGGAAUUACUGGGCGUAAAGCGUGCGCAGGCGGUUUUGUAAGCCAGAUGUGAAAGCCCCGGGCUUAACCUGGGAAUGGCAUUUGGGACUGCAGGGCUUGAGUGCGGCAGAGGAGACUGGAAUUCCUGGUGUAGCAGUGAAAUGCGUAGAUAUCAGGAGGAAUACCGAUGGCGAAGGCAGGUCUCUGGGCUGACACUGACGCUCAUGCACGAAAGCGUGGGGAGCAAACAGG
RNAcentral lists this ribosomal RNA (253 nucleotides) under uncultured bacterium. Its description in RNAcentral is "partial 16S ribosomal RNA". It matches the Rfam family "Bacterial small subunit ribosomal RNA", at positions 524 to 776 of the family's 1533-position model. The record is from RNAcentral.